Molecule: ribosomal RNA, 482 nt
Filed under: uncultured bacterium
Lineage: Bacteria
Description: SSU rRNA
Rfam family: Bacterial small subunit ribosomal RNA
Source: RNAcentral
AGGAUAAACGCUGGCGGCGUGCCUAACACAUGCAAGUCGAACGCGCUUACUAUCCGCGAGGAGGGUGAGCGAGUGGCGGACGGGUGAGGAACACGUGGGUGACCUACCUUUCAGUGAGGGAUACCGGCGAGAAAUUGCCGACAAGACCGCAUACGCUUCUCUUUUCAAGGGGAGAAGGAAAGCUUUUCGCAAGAGAGGCGCUGGGAGAUGGGCCUGCGGCCGAUUAGCUAGCUGGUGGGGUAAUGGCCUACCAGGGCGACGAUCGGUAGCUGGUCUGAGAGGACGAUCAGCCACACUGGGAUUGAGAACGGCCCAGACUCCUACGGGGGGCAGCAGUGAGGAAUUUUCGGCAAUGGGGGCAACCCUGACCGAGCAACGCCGCGUGCAGGACGACGGCCUUCGGGUUGUAAACUGCUUUUCUCUGGGACGAGCAAGGACGGUACCAGAGGAAGAAGCCCGGCUAACUACGCGCCAGCAGCCGC